Talpa occidentalis (Iberian mole) is the source of this 440-nucleotide long non-coding RNA. RefSeq lists it as uncharacterized. Lineage: Eukaryota; Metazoa; Chordata; Mammalia; Eulipotyphla; Talpidae. The record is from RefSeq and is a predicted model, not a curated record. The transcript has 4 exons.
CUGAACACACAUUGGCCUGGAGGGAACGUUGCUUUUGCCUGCCUGCAGUGUGCACCCAGGAUUUCAACUCAGGCAGUGUUACAGAAAUCUCACCUCCAAAGUCUGCUACUACAGCAUGCCCAUCCUCAUAGAGAAGAAUAUUAUGACUGUAAGAAAAAAACAAGUAGACUUUUAAUGAUCUUUACUAUUUCCUAAUCCUACUGGCUCUUUAAGGAAGAGGACUUCAGUGAGUGUAUGAUUGCCUCAGGAGUUAAACAAACCCCAGAAAGCUGACAGAUUUCAGAGAUGGACUGAAGUUCAUGGUGGCCACAGGAGAAUCAAGAGCCAUAUAAUUGCCUAUGUCAUUUGCUACCAACAAACACUAGAUUAAGGUACACCCAGUGUCCUUAUUUGAAGAGAUGACAGCCCCAGAAGUGUAAACCUAAUAGCAGCUUCCUAGA